AGUGAACGCUGGCGGUAGGCCUAACACAUGCAAGUCGAACGGCAGCACAGGAGAGCUUGCUCUCUGGGUGGCGAGUGGCGGACGGGUGAGGAAUACAUCGGAAUCUACUUUUUCGUGGGGGAUAACGUAGGGAAACUUACGCUAAUACCGCAUACGACCUACGGGUGAAAGCAGGGGGUCUUCGGACCUUGCGCGAUUGAAGGAGCCGAUGUCGGAUUAGCUAGUUGGCGGGGUAAAGGCCCACCAAGGCGACGAUCCGUAGCUGGUCUGAGAGGAUGAUCAGCCACACUGGAACUGAGACACGGUCCAGACUCCUACGGGAGGCAGCAGUGGGGAAUAUUGGACAACGGGCGCAAGCCUGAUCCAGCCAUACCGCGUGGGUGAAGAAGGCCUUCGGGUUGUAAAGCCCUUUUGUUGGGAAAGAAAUCCAGCUGGUAAAUACCCGGUUGGGAUGACGGUACCCAAAGAAUAAGCACCGGCUAACUUCGUGCCAGCCGCCGCCGUAA
RNAcentral lists this ribosomal RNA (506 nucleotides) under uncultured bacterium. RNAcentral's name for it is "partial 16S ribosomal RNA". It matches the Rfam family "Bacterial small subunit ribosomal RNA", at positions 29 to 523 of the family's 1533-position model. The record is from RNAcentral.